This 380-nucleotide unclassified non-coding RNA is filed under the name uncultured bacterium. Its description in RNAcentral is "contains 16S-23S intergenic spacer region". The record is from RNAcentral.
UCCCCGACUUCCGGGGCAGUCUCCUUAGAGUUCCCGACUUGACUCGCUGGCAACUAAGGAUAGGGGUUGCGCUCGUCGCGGGACUUAACCCAACAUCUCACGACACGAGCUGACGACAGCCAUGCAGCACCUCUAUGGCGGCUCCCGAAGGAGAAGCCUUGUUUCCAAGACGGUCCACCACAGUUCAAGCCCAGGUAAGGUUCUUCGCGUUGCAUCGAAUUAAACCACAUGCUCCACCGCUUGUGCGGGCCCCCGUCAAUUCCUUUGAGUUUCAACCUUGCGGUCGUACUCCCCAGGCGGGGUACUUCCUGCGUUAGCGCCGGCACCCAGAGGGUCGCUCCCCCAGGCACCUAGUACCCAUCGUUUACGGCGUGGACUAC